RNAcentral lists this long non-coding RNA (806 nucleotides) under Equus asinus (donkey). RNAcentral describes it as "lncRNA (ENSEASG00005031474.1)". Lineage: Eukaryota; Metazoa; Chordata; Mammalia; Perissodactyla; Equidae. The record is from RNAcentral.
AAAAAGCAACAGAAAAUGGGAGCGCGUGCGCAGCGACCAGCAGCCGGGAGCGCCCCCAGGGGCGCCGGAAACCUCCUGAAGGCCACUGCGCCUUUGAAGCGCUGGGCCUCCUCUGGUCCUUGUUUCAGUCCCCGGACCUGCCUCCAGAAUACCAUGCGUACGUGCUCUGCCGGCAACAGGCCUGUCAGAAGACCAGAUCUCUUUAGUUGAGCACCGUUUUAACCCAAGGUGGCAGCACCACAUUGGGAGUUCUCCACGGCACCCACUAAUGUAGGGGGACGCUGAACCGCGGAGGAGAGGUUGCCGGGCUAGACAGCAAAGAAGUGGCAGGAGUUCUGGUCUCAGUUUUUAGAGAAAACAGACUUCCCAUUUCAGUCCUGAAAUCCUUCACGGCUCAUCCCUCAGAGCCUCGUGAGAUGAGCACUGCAGAAAAAUACUACGCGGGCCGGCCCAGUGGCGCAGCAGUUAAGUUCGCACAGUCCCCUUCAGCAGCCCAGGGUUCGCCAGCCUGGAUCCCGGGCGUGGACCUAUGCACUGCAUGUCAAGCCAUGCUGUGGCAGGCAUCCCACAUAUAAAGUAGAGGAAGAUGGGCACGGAUCUUAGCUCAGGGCCAGUCUUCCUCAGCAAAAAGAGGAGAAUUGGCGGCGGAUGUUAGCUCAGGGCUAAUCUUCCUCAAAAAAAACAAAAAAGUAAAAUUUCGUUCAUUUAAAAAUCAUGCCUUGCUUUCAGGGGUGGCAGGUGGGGAGUAAUGGAUGCUCUAAGGAGCUGCACGUUAAAUAUUGAUGUCUGGCUAAAAUACACCAAGG